RNAcentral lists this ribosomal RNA (465 nucleotides) under Vreelandella stevensii. RNAcentral's name for it is "partial 16S ribosomal RNA". It matches the Rfam family "Bacterial small subunit ribosomal RNA", at positions 338 to 795 of the family's 1533-position model. The record is from RNAcentral. Lineage: Bacteria; Pseudomonadati; Pseudomonadota; Gammaproteobacteria; Oceanospirillales; Halomonadaceae.
CCUACGGGUGGCAGCAGUGGGGAAUAUUGGACAAUGGGCGAAAGCCUGAUCCAGCCAUGCCGCGUGUGUGAAGAAGGCCUUCGGGUUGUAAAGCACUUUCAGUGGGGAAGAAAGCCUUGGGGCUAAUACCCUCGAGGAAGGACAUCACCCACAGAAGAAGCACCGGCUAACUCCGUGCCAGCAGCCGCGGUAAUACGGAGGGUGCGAGCGUUAAUCGGAAUUACUGGGCGUAAGGCGCGCGUAGGCGGUCUGAUAAGCCGGUUGUGAAAGCCCCGGGCUCAACCUGGGAACGGCAUCCGGAACUGUCAGGCUAGAGUGCAGGAGAGGAAGGUAGAAUUCCCGGUGUAGCGGUGAAAUGCGUAGAGAUCGGGAGGAAUACCAGUGGCGAAGGCGGCCUUCUGGACUGACACUGACGCUGAGGUGCGAAAGCGUGGGUAGCAAACAGGAUUAGAUACCCCUGUAGUC